RNAcentral lists this ribosomal RNA (322 nucleotides) under uncultured Cercomonas. Its description in RNAcentral is "SSU rRNA". The stretch from base 82 to 322 matches the Rfam family "Eukaryotic small subunit ribosomal RNA", at positions 713 to 955 of the family's 1831-position model. Lineage: Eukaryota; Cercozoa; Cercomonadida; Cercomonadidae. The record is from RNAcentral.
GAUUUCUGGUACGGCGCACUUGGCCCGCCACGGUUACGUGGUUGUGUGCCGGUGUGCGCCUGCCAUCCAUCUGGAGAACGGCUCCGCCCUUUACUGGGUUGGUGUCGGUAUCCAGAUCUUUUACUUUGAAAAAAUUAGAGUGUUUAAAGCAGGCUUGUGCUAUGAAUACAUUAGCAUGGAAUAAUAAUUUAGGACUUUGGUCUUAUUUUGUUGGUUUCUAGGACUAAAGUAAUGAUUGAUAGGGAUAGUUGGGGGUGCUAGUAUUCAGCGGCCAGAGGUGAAAUUCUUGGAUUCGCUGAAGACUAACUUAUGCGAAAGCAUU